UACGUAGGGUGCGAGCGUUAGUCGGAUUUACUGGGCGUAAAGCGUGCGCAGGCGGCCCGUUAAGACAGGUGUGAAAUCCCUGGGCUCAACCUAGGAAUUGCGCUUGUGACUGGCGGGCUCGAGUACGGUAGAGGGGGGUGGAAUUCCUGGUGUAGCAGUGAAAUGCGUAGAGAUCAGGAGGAACACCGAUGGCGAAGGCAGCCCCCUGGGCCUGUACUGACGCUCAUGCACGAAAGCGUGGGGAGCAAACAGG
This 253-nucleotide ribosomal RNA is filed under the name uncultured microorganism. Its description in RNAcentral is "partial 16S ribosomal RNA". It matches the Rfam family "Bacterial small subunit ribosomal RNA", at positions 524 to 776 of the family's 1533-position model. The record is from RNAcentral.